GCCCUUCGCCUCCAUAGCCCCAACUCCACACCUGUCCCAUAUCUGAAACUUUGGUUAAAAACAUGAAGCAUCAGGUGUCUUGCUUUACAUCAAAAAAUCGUCCACAGCUUCGUACUUCAUACAACCUACUUCGUACUUCAUAUAACCUACAAAACUACAUAGUGUGACCACGAAGAGGAGACUACACCUGAAAUUCGCAAGGGUGCACGAUGCAGUGACCCAAGAAGCAGUUGGUUUACCUGACAGUGCUAAGGUGUGGCGCCCACCAGCAGCAACACUGGUGAUCUUUAUUCCAGGACCCAGAGUUACAAGAGAAGGUGACACUGUGAAAAAGUCAUCUCCAGAUGAUGAAUUUUCAAAUUCUUCCUUAACUGUUGAUACUUUUCUCUUCUUUAUAAUUUCCUCUCCAGCCCUACUGUUUUCAGAUUGAGAAACUGUCCUACCGGCUAAACUUGAUCCUUGGGACCUUGGACUCACUUCUUUUGUUGGCAGUGCAUUUUGUUUUCCAUCAUUAUCCUUUUGGAAGCUUCCUGCAGCUGCCGUAUAACGGAUGAAUUUCAGAGCGGGAACACACUCUUUCCAUCCCCAUGUAUAUACUUCCCGUCACUGCAUAUUGACUAGUGAUGAGCUUAUUGAACCUCUCUGAAUGGAAAAUUAGAAAUGAAAACCCACUUUGGCCUUGUCAGGCGUAAAUGAGUUGAGAUAUGCCAAGUACUAAGGUGCAUAGGCUUCAAUUGCUUAGCUUAAAUCAAGCUUGAGCUUAUAUUGAGCUUACUCCACUGUUCAUUUUUUUUCCUUUUUUUUUUUUUUAAAUGUAGUUACUGACUUCAAGUGCAAAACUGUAAUUAAACUGAAGGCCUACAGAAAAUCUAACGGUUUUUGAAUUACUCAUUUACAAAUUUUUACAUUAGACAAAUAUAACAUUUUCUAAACUCCAGUAAACUCAAGUACAAGUGGGUCCAUUCACAAAGACCAUAUGAUUUCAAAUUUGCAAAAGAUAGAAUGCCUGCAUCCUCUUUUCUCACCUUUAUUUUUUCAUUCUUUUUCUCGUUGCCCCUACACCCAUUCCAAAAAUAUAUCUCACUGUUUGAUGAUUCAUUUUAUUUGCAUGACGUUAUUGUGAAAAUCUAAUAGCACAUUUUAAGUUAAAGACAAAUAUCUACUAUUCUAAAUGAAUAAAUUUGAAUAGCUUAAAAUUGGUUAUACAUCAAGUUUUAUCAAGCCUUUUCAUAAGCUCCAUUUUUUUUUUCUAACUUGUUUCAUUUAGGUUUGUAAAAACAAGCUUUUACCAAACCUACUCAGAGCUACUCACUGAGCUACUCAGAGUUAUCCAUCAAGUUUUAUCAAGGCCACUAAUUACUACUAAUUAAGAAAAACAUUAUAUUUCCUUAACAAGUGCAUCAAAAGGAAAGGCAAUUUAAUUAGCCCAAGGAAGAAGUCCAUUGUUAAGUAAUGUCCCUUGCAGCAAAAUCAAAAGUAUUGGACAUUUUAAAAUGAAUUCCAGGAUCUACUACUCCCUAACACUAACACAGGCUGUAGUUUUGUAUCCAGAAAUCAAAUAGGCACAAAAGGUGGAAAGUUACAUUAAUGUAUAAUGGCAAGCAAGAUCUAUGUUUUUUCCUCAUUUCUUUUCAAUAACCAAAUAACAAGUAACAUUAAGUAAAUAAUAAAAGAAAAACCUGCAACUGAUACAAAAUGUGCCCAGCCAGCCGCAGCCUUCACUACUGAAGCUUCAUGUGGAAGAGGAAAAGGCUCUGGUAUCUCCUUAACAAUGUAUAGCAGAAAGAAGAUGCAAAAUCAAUUCAAACAGAAAAUUGCAACAAAAGAAUUCAUUAACCGGGAGAUCACUGCAUUACCCCAUGCUUCCCAGAAGUUAUAUAGCUCUGACCUUCAUCAUCCGUUGAACCCCAAGAUAUUAGCUUUCCAGAUCCUAAUUCCAUAUUCUUGAGUACAUAAGCAAUUAUACCAUAGCAUAUUAAUUAACAACAAUUCUAAUAACUAUUUUCCACAUUUAAUUAAGCAUAAUCUAGAAUAAUUGUUUUGCCGAAGAAAUUGACCAUAACUUUCUGGAAUCUGAAAAUCUGGAAUACUCUAUAAUAUUCAUUUAAGUAACAUAAUCUUCAAUUCCGAGAUUUACUGGAACUAAAGAUUAUCAAAAUCAGAGAAAACUAACAUAUCCGGAGCUAAAACAGCAGAGCAUCACAUGUAAAACAUUUAUGAGAUCUAAAAAAUAGGUAUCAAUCAUCGCAUGACUCAACAAUACUUAGCGUGCUUUAUUACGCUUUAUCUAGAAAACAUGGUAAGGGAAAAAAAAAAAUAACAUUCUAGAACCAUGUAGAACCAAUUAACGAGGAAAAAAAAAGAAAAGAAAGAAAGAAUGUCAUUUUCUAUUGUACAAUAAUUACGUUGAUUUUUUUUCCCUUUCACUUUCUUGAUUUUUCUUGGCAAACAAACAACAGAAAUGGACACAUGGAAGAAAAAAUAAAGAUUAUAUCUUUUACUUUGAUGGCUCUGCGGUAUGUGG
RNAcentral lists this unclassified non-coding RNA (2524 nucleotides) under Hevea brasiliensis (rubber tree). The record is from RNAcentral. Lineage: Eukaryota; Viridiplantae; Streptophyta; Magnoliopsida; Malpighiales; Euphorbiaceae.